Molecule: long non-coding RNA, 1146 nt
Organism: Lates calcarifer (barramundi perch)
Lineage: Eukaryota; Metazoa; Chordata; Actinopteri; Centropomidae
Exons: 2
Source: RefSeq, a predicted model, not a curated record
GUCCAGAGCCUCUGAAUGAAGCGACUACUGAUAUUUCUUGUUUGAAAGUCGCAGAGAGAGACUGAUGAUCUGGAGGUCCUAAAUAAUCCGUCCACACCUGGACCCAGGUGGACUUCUCGGUCAGGCUGACAGAGAUAACGCCUCUACACUGAACAGACAGUUCAUUAAUAAGUACAAAAAGUAUUAAUUAUUAACCCAAAAAAGUAAUCUUCGAUCAAUAUAACUGAGGAGUUAUGUUUUAAUACUUUUUAUCAGCAGUUUGUUCUCUUCUGUUUACAAUUGUCUGUCUUUAAACUGUCUUUGGGCUGUUUACUUACUAAAUAUCCAUCAAAUAACUGUAAAAAUACGUUUACACACAUUGAUCAAUAACGACAUAAUUAUACAAUCUAUAUCAUUUGCAACCUUAAACUGUACUACAAAUAAUAAUGCUAAUUAUAUUAUUUCUGUGUAUGUAAUAAUGUUGCUGUCCACAGACUGAAACACUAAAUAUUCAAUAUUAAAACUAUUAAGUCUGAGUUAAUAUUUUUUAUUAUUUUCUCUAGUCACGGCUGAUUUGGAUGUGGUUACACUGAAACAGAUAAUGCUAAAGAUUAGUUAGCGAGGACGAGGCUAGCGCUUCCUUCCCUCAACAAACAUGGCGGCUCGGUACCGCUAUUUGCCACAAGAAGCGGGGAAAUAACGACUACCGUUGGUUUUGUCUUCCACAAAGUGAACAGAACACUCUCCCCGUGUUAUCCGAGAACUACGGUGAAACCGCCGAGCUGAGAGAGAAGCGACCGCACGGCUUCACCUCGAAAACCGCAGCAUCUCCAUCUUCUGAGGCCGCUCAGAGACGCCAUUUUCUGCCCCAACUUCACCUGCAGCGUAAGGAGAAGGAGGAGGGCGCCGCCCGCAGGCCGAACACAGGAGUUACAGCCUGGACCACAGAGUCUCAACCUCAUUAAAACAUGAGUGGUUGUUGAAUCAUUAAUAAAGUGUUUAAUGAACAGUAAUGUCCAGAUGAUGUAAACUGAGAACACAUGAACACAUCUCUGUUCAUCAUGAUGACAGUUUAUUUUUAUCAACUCUGAAAAAUCUAUAAAAAGCAAAGUGUUAAAAAUGACACUGAAUGAGAGAGUCACUGAUAAUAAAGUGUAAAUACUGUGA